This 483-nucleotide ribosomal RNA is filed under the name uncultured bacterium. RNAcentral describes it as "partial 16S ribosomal RNA". It matches the Rfam family "Bacterial small subunit ribosomal RNA", at positions 28 to 523 of the family's 1533-position model. The record is from RNAcentral.
GACGAACGCUGGCGGCGUGCUUAACACAUGCAAGUCGAACGAUGAUGCCCAGCUUGCUGGGUGGAUUAGUGGCGAACGGGUGAGUAACACGUGAGUAACCUGCCCCUGACUCUGGGAUAAGCGUUGGAAACGACGUCUAAUACUGGAUAUGACUGCCGGCCGCUGGGGCUGGUGGUGGAACGAUUUUUUGGUUGGGGAUGGACUCGCGGCCUAUCAGCUUGUUGGUGAGGUAAUGGCUCACCAAGGCGACGACGGGUAGCCGGCCUGAGAGGGUGACCGGCCACACUGGGACUGAGACACGGCCCAGACUCCUACGGGAGGCAGCAGUGGGGAAUAUUGCACAAUGGGCGAAAGCCUGAUGCAGCAACGCCGCGUGAGGGAUGACGGCCUUCGGGUUGUAAACCUCUUUUAGUAGGGAAGAAGCGUAAGUGACGGUACCUGCAGAAAAAGCACCGGCUAACUCUGUGCCAGCCGCCGCAGUAA